RNAcentral lists this ribosomal RNA (70 nucleotides) under Candidatus Cloacimonadota bacterium. RNAcentral's name for it is "partial 16S ribosomal RNA". It matches the Rfam family "Bacterial small subunit ribosomal RNA", at positions 1 to 70 of the family's 1533-position model. The record is from RNAcentral. Lineage: Bacteria; Pseudomonadati; Candidatus Cloacimonadota.
AUAAUGGAGAGUUUGAUCCUGGCUCAGGACGAACGCUGGCGGCGUGGAUUAGGCAUGCAAGUCGAACGAG